This 858-nucleotide ribosomal RNA is filed under the name uncultured bacterium. RNAcentral describes it as "bacterial SSU rRNA". It matches the Rfam family "Bacterial small subunit ribosomal RNA", at positions 21 to 902 of the family's 1533-position model. The record is from RNAcentral.
GGCUCAGGAUAAACGCUAGCGGUGUGCAUUAUGCAUGCAAGUCGAGCGGUCAGUCGCAAGAUUGACAGCGGCAAACGGCUGAAUAACACGUAAGCAACCUGUCCUUAAGUGGGGAAUAAUCUACCGAAAGGUGGACUAAUACCGCAUGUGGUAGUGGAGGUAGUGCUUCAUUACUAAAGCGCUUGCGCGCUUGAGGAGGGGCUUGCGGCCUAUCAGGUAGUUGGUGAGGUAACGGCCCACCAAGCCGACGACGGGUAGCUGGUCUGAGAGGACGUACAGCCAGACGGGGACUGAGACACGGCCCCGACUCCUACGGGAGGCAGCAGCAGGGAAUAUUGCGCAAUGGGCGAAAGCCUGACGCAGCAACACCGCGUGAGGGAAGAAGGCCUUCGGGUCGUAAACCUCUUUUGUUAGGGAAGAAUAAUGACGGUACCUAAUGAAUAAGUCACGGCUAACUACGUGCCAGCAGCUGCGGUAAUACGUAGGUGGCAAGCGUUAUCCGGAUUCACUGGGCGUAAAGCGCGCGUAGGUGGUCCUUCAAGUCAGAUGUUAAAUAUUCCGGCUUAACUGGAAAAUGUCAUCUGAUACUGCUGGACUUGAGGACGGUAGAGGGAGGUGGAAUUCCCGGUGUAGUGGUGAAAUGCGUAGAUAUCGGGAGGAACACCAGUGGCGAAAGCGGCCUCCUAGGCCGUUCCUGACACUGAGGCGCGAAAGCGUGGGGAGCGAACAGGAUCAGAUACCCUGGUAGUCCACGCCCUAAACUGUGGAAACUAGGUACAGGGAGUAUCGACCCUUCCUGCGCCGUAGCUAACGCGUUAAGUUUCCCGCCUGGGGACUACCGUCGCAAGACUAAAACUC